AGCAGCCGCGGUAAUUCCAGCUCCAAUAGCGUAUAUUAAAGUUGCUGCAGUUAAAAAGCUCGUAGUUGAAUUUCGGGACCAUCAUGUCGGUCGUGCCUCGGUACGUACUGGCAUUGUUGGUUUCUCCCUUCUGACGAACCAUGAUGUCAUUAAUUUGGUGUUAUGGGAAAUCAGGACUGUUACUUUGAAAAAAUUAGAGUGUUUAAAGCAGGCAUUAGCUUGAAUACAUUAGCAUGGAAUAAUGAAAUAGGACGUUCGAACCUAUUUUGUUGGUUUUUAGGAUCAACGUAAUGAUUAAUAGGGAUAGUUGGGGGCAUUAGUAUUCAAUUGUCAGAGGUGAAAUUCUUGGAUUUAUUGAAGACUAACUACUGCGAAAGCAUUUGCCAAGGAUGUUUUCAUUAAUCAAGAACGAAAGUUAGGGGAUCGAAGACGAUCAGAUACCGUCGUAGUCUUAACCAUAAACUAUGCCGACUAGGGAUCGGAUGAUGUUAAUUUUUAAUGACUCAUUCGGCGCCUUAAC
Molecule: ribosomal RNA, 520 nt
Filed under: uncultured Glomus
Lineage: Eukaryota; Fungi; Glomeromycota; Glomeromycetes; Glomerales; Glomeraceae
Description: SSU rRNA
Rfam family: Eukaryotic small subunit ribosomal RNA
Source: RNAcentral